AGUAGAUUAUCUGUCUCUCUAAGCUUUUGUUUCCACCCUUUGUUUUCUUUAUAUCCAAUUUUAGCAUGCUUUGACAGUGCUUUUCAAAUAGAAAUGUAAAACAUUGGAUUAAUGAAUUAGACGAGAUGCUCAGCUCCUGCCUGCUGUGAGUUUAAAACUUUAUUGCGAAUGCAAACUUAGAGAUAUCUUUAUGAGGUUAAUACAGAAUCAUGCAUCCCAUUCUGUACAGCCCAGUGGACAAAGUCUGCCAUGUGAUACGAGCAAGGCAUUCACAAAGGCAUCUCUCAUUUCAGAUUGCAGCAGUGACAGGAGUACGCUUUCCUGUACCUUAAAUUCUCAAACUUUGCCAUUUCCAAGUCGGGCCACUUACCAACAACUGAAAGGUGUCUUCCUUCACCCUUGCAACUUCCAUGGGGCUUUUUUCUGAGGAAUUCAUUUUAGCCCCAGAUCCUGCAAGCUGAGAUAUUUAUACAGCCUAAGCCCAGAGUCUCUGAGGAGCAACUAGGAUUAUCAAACCAUUAAAUUUCGGUAAGAUGAGACUUCUCUAGAUUCUAUGGAUUUUACAGCAUUUUUGCAGACUGACAGGCACUGUCAGCUGGGAGCUCAGCAUGGCUUCUUGUUCCCUGCUACCAGGUAGGUGUUCACCUGCAGCUCCAUCCUUUCACAAGUACAUGGUUCUCCUGGACAUUUUAUUGCCAAGUUCUAGAAAAAAACAUAUGAGAUGUCAGAGAAAAACAGAACAUUUAUAUUUUAAGGAUAAAUAAUACUGUUGCUGGAGGAUAAAAAUGCCAUUAAAUUUAUUAACUCUAGUGGUAAUGUCUAUUUAAAAUGGUAUUGAGAAGCAGUCUGCUAUGUAACUAAACUAUUAAAUAAAAGCCCAAACAACAUUUCUUUGUUCAGCCAAACCGACACCAUUGGUAUUACCUUGUUUGCCCACAGUUUAGCUGAGGACCUGGUAGUUUGCUUUCCUGGACAUUGCUUUCUCAAUAAGUGUAUGGCAAAUUCAUAAAGCUCAUCACCACCAUCUGAUGCUCUGCUCUGACCACUGGUUUUGUUGGAGUUAGAGCAGAUUAUUAUUUUUUUCCAACAGGAUGAGCAGGCCUAUUAAACACGGAAUAGAAACUGAACCCAAAACUCGGAGCUGAUGGUGUUUUCUGAAAUGGCCACGUACCAGCUGCAGUGCUGUCGGUAUGUGUUCUGCUGUUGGUUUGAAGGGAGCAGGAUGUGACCUGUGGUACCUUUCAUGGCAGGGCAUUGCAAGCAUGCUACCAUUUAGGGAUCUACUCAUCCUCUAAUAUGCGCCCUGAAAAUGCUGCAACACUGUUUAUUGUCUGUAUUAAGGUUGCGCCUAGUUUAUGCUAAUUUUGAUAGCGGAAAGACCAUGUUCUGUAUCACUUAUGCACAUUUAUGCACAAGGCACUAUUUUCAGCAUGCAUCAGGACCCUAGGCACCCCAAGAGGCUCCGAUUGCCCUGAGCAGCCUUGGAUGGGGGUGGCACCCUCUGCCCCUAGCCAGGCCCUGCAUUUGCACCCCAGCGUUUGCCCUUCCACCUGAGCCGUGCCGU
RNAcentral lists this long non-coding RNA (1564 nucleotides) under Cairina moschata (Muscovy duck). Its description in RNAcentral is "domestica (muscovy Duck (domestic type)) lncRNA (ENSCMMG00000010477.1)". The record is from RNAcentral. Lineage: Eukaryota; Metazoa; Chordata; Aves; Anseriformes; Anatidae.